This 6110-nucleotide long non-coding RNA is filed under the name Homo sapiens (human). RNAcentral describes it as "long non-coding RNA NONHSAT258968". Lineage: Eukaryota; Metazoa; Chordata; Mammalia; Primates; Hominidae. The record is from RNAcentral.
AGGAAAGUGACAUGCUGUUGCUGAUAUGUUCUUCUAACAUAUGACCCAGUAACUUUUUUCUUCCAUGCUCCAAUGGUUCGAAUGCCUGUGCAAGGUAAUACAGGAAACACACACUGGCAUUGGCAGCAUUCUGGGCACGGGAAAUUUGGGGUCUAGAGAAGAAACUGGUGAUGGCCUUCUGUCAGGAUUCUGUGCUCAGACACUAAUGUGCUGAACUGCAUGGUUUCCACUGUGAAGAGGAAUGGCAUGUCAGGCAUCAUGAGGACCCCUGAUUCAGUGAAUAGGAACGCAGUUGAAGUUUAUUCAAGCAUUUCUCUGUUUUAGCUUCUUGCACUCUUCCAUUGAUCAUACUCUGCACAUUGGUGGGGACAGAAAAGUCAUGUGGUUCCUGUCAAUGACCAGUACAUGAAGCUGGUGAAAUUUUGAUCCUCAUAGGUAUCUGUAGAAGAGCCUGAGUGUUCAGGAAGCUCCCAUGUCAGGUAUCCAGGCUAGCAGCUUAAUCUCUCCUAUUCCUCAUGCUGAAAAUGGCACCUACCUCAAGGCUGUAGGUGUCAGUUUCCCUGUUUAUAAGCUGUUGCCACUUGGUGAUCUGACCCAUCUGCCAUUUGGUCCUCUCAGAGGGGAAAUUACAUGGUCUCAAAAUGACCUUGCCUGUGCUUUCAAGCAGAGAGUGUUACAGACACAACCGUGAGGGAUUUAUACAUCUUGUAUAGUACUCCAGCUACUGCAGCUGUUACAGGAUAAGGGGAAGCCACAGUUUGAGGAGGGGAGGGCACACUGCUUUCCGUAUUUCAGGCUACCUAAGAAUUCAAGCAGGAAUGCAAGGAAUCUCCAGAAUAUGACAGAGGAAAACAAUGCACAUCGAUAAAUGUCCUAUGAGCAUAUAUGGCCCAUUGCAAAGUUGAGACAUUGAUGAAAGGGACAGGUCAUUAUUUUCCAUAUCCUCAGUGAAUGAUGGGCUUCUAUAUGGUCACGUAGUUCAAUAAUGUGAUGGACUUCUGCAAAGUUACUGCUGUCACUUUUGCUGAUGCUGUUGUAUCCUCACUGAUGCCAUACACUGUAGGCACUCAUCUUGGUCAUAAUCCAGAGUGUUCUCCCAUAGGUUUAUUGCAAGUCGUGAGCACUACCUGUGAUACGCAUUUCCCGUUAUCUUACUCAAGAGGGCUGAGCUGAGAUGCUCGUUUCAACUGCUUAAGUUAUUUUCUCUUUACCUAGUGCUCAUGCAGGUCAUACAUUUUUGCCGCCAAUCCUUUUCCACAAUUAGAAAAGAAGAGGGCACAGAAGUUUCUCUACUUCAGGCUACCUAACAGGUCAAGCAGGAAUGUCAAGAAUCUGCUGCAUAUGAGGAAAACACAGACAGUUCAAGGACUAGGGACUUUGAUAUGAAAGUUGCAGUGGGCACUAGGGUUCAGGGAAGUGCCCCCAAUUCCCUUUUUCCCUUCCCUCACAGUACAUUUGGAGUACCAUGACUGGAGGACACAGGACAACAUUGCACAUCCACAGAUGUCAUACGAGCAUACAUGGCCCACUGGCAAACGUCAGGCAUGAAUGAUGGGGACAGGUUAUUUUCCAUUUUCCCAGUGUGUGGUGGACUUGUCUGUUGGUGAAGGCAUUGCUGCCUCAGCCUUCUUCUGUGUAUUACUUUAGGCCUGUAAAAAAUGGCCACAGAGGUAGGUGACCCUUCACUCAAUUAUACUGUUACAUAGUACUAUAAUGUGGAGAACUUCUGCAAAGUUACUACUGUUGCUUUUGCUGAUGCUGUUGUAUCCACACGAAUGGGAUGCACUGUAUGCCCUCAUCUUGGUCAUAAUCCAGGGUGUUCUCCAAUAGCUUUAUUUCAAGUCUUGAGCACUGCCUGUGAUACGCAUUUCCCGCUAUCAUUCUCAGGAGGGCUGAGCUGAGAUGCUGGUUUCAACUGCUUAAGUUAUUUUCUCUUUACUUAGUUCUCAUGCAGGCCAAACAUUUUUGCUGUCAAUCCUUUUCCACAAUUUGAGCAGGGGAGGGCAGAGGGUUUCCCUGCUUCAGGCUACCUAACAGGUCAAGCAGACAUGUCAAGAAUCUCCUGCAUAUGAGGAAAAUACAGACAGUUUAGAGGACUAGGGACUUUGAUGUGAUAGUUACAGUGGGCAUUAGGGUUCAGCGAAGUGCCUCCUGUCCCUUUUCCUCUUCCCUGACAGUACCUUUGGAGCAACAUGGCUGGAGGACACAGGACAACAAUGCAUAUCGACCGAUGUGACAUGAACAUACAUGGUCCAGUGGCAAACAUCAGAAAUGGAUGAUGGGGACAGAUUCUUAUUUUCCCUUUUUCCGGUGACUGGUGGGCUUGUCUGCUGGUGAAGGCGUUGUGCCUCAGCCUUCUUCUGUUUAUUGCUUUAGGCCUUUGAAAAAUGGCUACAGACGUACGAGGCCAUUCACCCUAUUAUAUUGUAAUAUAAUACUAUAAUGUGGAGGACUUCUGAAAAGUUACUGCUGUUGCUUUUGCUGAUGCUUUUGUAUCCUCAUCGAUGCAAUGCACUGUGUGCCUUCAUCUUGGUGAUAAUCCAGGGUGUUUUCCCAUAGCUUCAUUGCAAUCUUGAGCACUGCCUGUGAUAUGCAUUUCCCGCUAUCUUUCUCAGGAGGGCUAAGCUGAGAUGUUGGUUUCAACUGCUUAAGUUAUUUUCUCUUUACCUAGUUCUCAUGCAGGCCAUACAUUUUUGCAGCCAAUCCUUUUCCACAAUGUAAGAAGAGGAGGGCACAGGGGUUUCCCUAGUUCAGGCUACCUAACAGGUCAAGCAGGAAUGUCAAGAAUCUCCUGCAUAUGAGGAAAAUACAGACAGUUCAGAAGACAAGGGUAUUUGAUGGGAAAGUUGCAGAGGGCAUUAGGGUUCAGCGAAGUGCCUCCUGUCCCGUAUCCCCUGACCUUACAGUACCUUUGGAGCAGCAUGGCUAGAGGACACAGGACAACAAUGCAUAUCGACUGAUGUGAUAUGAGCAUACAUGGUCUACUGGCAAACGUCACACAUGGAUGAUGGGGGCAGGUUCUUAUUUUCCAUUUCCCACUGAGUGGUGGGCUUGUCUGUUGGUGAAGGCGUUGCUGCAUCAGCCUUCUUUUGUGUAUUGCUAAAGGCCUGUGAAAAAUGGCCACAGAGAUAGGUGACCCUUCACUCACUUAUAUUGUUACACAGUACUAUAAUGUGGAGGACUCCUGCAAUGUUACUGCUCUUGCUUUUGCUGAUUUGUUGUAUCCAUACUGAUGCGACGCACUAUGUGCCUUCACCUUGGUGAUAAUCCAGGGUGUUUUCCUAUAGCUUUUUUGCAAGUCUUGAGCACUGCCUGUGAUACACAUUUCCCUCUAUCUUUCUCAGGAGGGCUGAGCUGAGAUCCUGGUUUCAACUGCUUAAGUUAUUUUCUCUUUACCUAGUUCUUGUGCAGGCCAUACAUUUUUGCUGCCAAUCCUUUUCCACAAUUUGAGAAGAGGAGCGGGUUUCCCUACUUCAGUCUACCUAACAGUUCAAGCAGGAAUGUCAAGAAUCUCCUGCACAUGAGGAAAAUACAGACAGUUCAGAGGACAAGGGUCUUUGAUGUGAACGUUGCAAUGGGCAUUAGGAUUCAGGGAAGUGCCUUCUGUCCUUUUUCCCCUUUCUCACAGUACCUUUGGAGCAGCAUACCUGGAGGACACAGGACAACAAUGCACAUCAAAGGCUGUGAUAUGUGCAUAUAGUGCCCACUGGCAAACGUCACACAUGGAUGAUGGGGACAGGUUGUUAUUUUCCGUUUUCCCAGUGAGUGGUGGCCUUGUCUGUUGGUGAAGGCGUUGCUGCCUCAGCCUUCUUCUGUGUAUUGCUUUAAGCCUGUGAAAAAUGGCCACAGAGGUAGGUGGCGCUUCUCCCUCUUAUAUUGUUACAUAGUGCUAUAAUGUGGAGGACUUCUGCAAAGUUACUGCUGUUACUUUUGCUGAUGCUGUUGUAUCCUCACUGAUAGGCUGUAUACCCUCAUCUUGUUAAUAAUCCAGGGUGUUCUCUUGUAGCUUUAUUGGCAUUCUGGACACUGCCUGUGAUGUGCAUUUCCUUCUAUGUUUCUCAGGAGGGCUGAGCUGAGGUUCUAGUUUCAACUGCUUAAGUUUCCUCUUUACCUUGUUCUCAUGCCUGCCAAUUAUUUUGGCUGCCUGUCCCCUUUUAUUCAUGAUUGUAAAAUUGGCAAGAGGCUUACUUAGCUUUCAAAAAGAUUUGCAUGCUUUGCAAAGAAGCAGAGGAAGAAUUUACAAGUUUUCCAAAGUAAAUCUUCUUAAAAAAGGGAAUUGUUAGGUCUAUUCUUUUUUCACCAGGGAGAUUUAAACUUUUAUUUCUUAUUUUCCUUUGUAUUUGCCCUUUCAACAUGCUGCCAUGUGAUACCAGUUCCCCCAAUUUGCCCUUCACAAUGAUGACUCCUGUGUCCUUGCUCAAGCCAGGCAUGUGCAGAGAAGUUCCUCAUGUGGGACUUGUGCAAACAGGACCUCAAGGACAAAUAAUAAGUAUGAGCACUUGCCCAUUUUCUAGCCUGUGCAUGCUUUUACCCAUACCAGUGUUUUUAUGAAGGGUUCUUUAUAACCAGUUGGAGUGAGGAAUCAAACCAUUAGCCUUGUUUACAGAUGGCUUAAAUUGACAUGUUGAUGUCAAUGGUCUGUUGACAAGUGGGGCUGUACAAUUUAUCUCAUAUCCUCCUGUCCUUGAGUCCUAAAUGAGCAGAGGUUUGGUUUCCUGUAGUAGACAGACAUUUACUUUGUAUGACUUGUUAUAUCUACCGCCUGAUAGAAUUUUUGGCUGUAGAUGAGGACCCAGUUCCUCUCUUCUGGAUAUUUAGUGCAUGGGCCUCUCCAAAAGGUAUGAAAGAAUGUGCAAAAUGUAUGCACUCCCAUACAGUUUGAAUCAGUUCCUCCAGAUCCCUCUGGAUUGGAGUUUGUCCUCUCAGCCCAUUGUGCUGACUCCAGUCAUGCAGUAUAUGGAUUGCUGACAGCUGCCAGGGUGGCCACCCAACAGUUUAGAUUUGUGUUGGUCUUCUGAGCUUUCUUUGUACCUUCGUAUUCACAUGCAAACCUAGUGUAGUGCUGCUUAAUUUGAGAAAAGAAUAGCAGUGGGCUGUAUUCAGUGAAUCCUAGUGGGAUUCAUGGAUUUUCCCGGUCUCCCCAUCAGUCAGACAUGAUGCCUUACAGAAUGCUAGAAAGGCCUGUUGUAGACUCCACUCCAGUGUCAGCUUGGACUACUAGUUCUGCAGUCAACAUGCUGAUCUACAGGAUGUGGAAUAUAAUUUAAGCCAGAAAACAAGCACCUGUGCUUCUCCAAAGUCCAGAAAUGGUGGAUCUGGGAACCUGGGGUUAGAGGUAAGCAUAGAACUUUUUAUGAUUACAGAUGAAUUCUCCUCACCAAAUGUUUUUAGAUUUUAGAACACAAGGAAAGGAGAAUGGUUCUCCAUGGGAAAUGGGUAAUGCCAUUACUGCUUCCAUAUUAUUUUUUGCCUUGAUUCUUCAAUUUACAUGUAGUAUUUUACAUUGGCAGUGUUUAAGGUUAACGUUUAGUCCAUAGGUUUUUGAAUUUCAUCAAAUCCAACAGUUCUACAGAAGCCAUGCACUUCAUCUGGAGGACUUUGUCUCAAGGAAUGGCCCCAUGACACCAGCUAUUUAUACAUACAAACAGGAAUUGACUUUGGGAUUGGCUUGGACUUUGGGUUGUUUUCAUUGUUCAUGAUAUGUGCUUUAGUACUUACUCAAGAGAUGGUUUUAAAUAUUUUACAUACGGGGACGGGUCAAAACAUGUAUGUACUGUAUCUAUGUACUGGGGUGGAAGGCAGCAGUCUCAGGCUGAUUGGUCUGUCCAGGAAGCAGCUUUUCUCUGAGACCUUUCCACACCCUUCUGUUUCCUAUGUGACUGGCCAUAGCUACUUGGUUUGGUACCUUUCACCUCACCCUAGUUGAGCCAGUCAUGCUCUUGAAAUUAGACUGAAGAAUGAGUGACAACCUGUUAAGUCUCGUUAAUACUUUUUCACUACAGAUAAUGUAAUUUAGAAGUCCUGCCAUUGAGUUCACCUCAAUCGGCCUCAUUUCUGUGUUUUCAAAGUGUUUGUCACUUUGGUUUCUUGCAUUUUAUAAAAUAUUUGUG